This 492-nucleotide ribosomal RNA is filed under the name uncultured bacterium. RNAcentral describes it as "partial 16S ribosomal RNA". It matches the Rfam family "Bacterial small subunit ribosomal RNA", at positions 29 to 507 of the family's 1533-position model. The record is from RNAcentral.
AGUGAACGCUGGCGGUAGGCCUAACACAUGCAAGUCGAACGGCAGCACAGUAAGAGCUUGCUCUUACGGGUGGCGAGUGGCGGACGGGUGAGGAAUACAUCGGAAUCUACUUUUUCGUGGGGGAUAACGUAGGGAAACUUACGCUAAUACCGCAUACGACCUACGGGUGAAAGCAGGGGAUCUUCGGACCUUGCGCGAUUGAAUGAGCCGAUGUCGGAUUAGCUAGUUGGCGGGGUAAAGGCCCACCAAGGCGACGAUCCGUAGCUGGUCUGAGAGGAUGAGCAGCCACACUGGAACUGAGACACGGUCCAGACUCCUACGGGAGGCAGCAGUGGGGAAUAUUGGACAAUGGGCGCAAGCCUGAUCCAGCCAUACCGCGUGGGUGAAGAAGGCCUUCGGGUCGUAAAGCCCUUUUGUUGGGAAAGAAAAGCAGCAGGUUAAUACCCCGCUGUUCUGACGGUACCCAAAGAAUAAGCACCGGCUAACUUCGUG